UGAGGAACAUGACCUUCGGCGGGGGAGUAGCCGGCCCAACGGCCGGGUAAUACCGCGUACGACCACAUGGGGACAUCCCCGAGUGGUGAAAGCAGCAAUGCGCCGAUGGAGUGCCUCGCGGCCUAUCAGCUAAUUGGUGAGGUAACGGCUCACCAAGGCGACGACGGGUAGCUGGUCUGAGAGGAUGGCCAGCCACAUUGGGACUGAGACACAGCCCAGACCUGUACCGGGGA
This 233-nucleotide ribosomal RNA is filed under the name uncultured bacterium. Its description in RNAcentral is "partial 16S ribosomal RNA". It matches the Rfam family "Bacterial small subunit ribosomal RNA", at positions 118 to 347 of the family's 1533-position model. The record is from RNAcentral.